RNAcentral lists this ribosomal RNA (492 nucleotides) under uncultured bacterium. RNAcentral describes it as "partial 16S ribosomal RNA". It matches the Rfam family "Bacterial small subunit ribosomal RNA", at positions 29 to 507 of the family's 1533-position model. The record is from RNAcentral.
AGUGAACGCUGGCGGUAGGCCUAACGCAUGCAAGUCGAACGGCAGCACAGUAAGAGCUUGCUCUUACGGGUGGCGAGUGGCGGACGGGUGCGGAAUACAUCGGAAUCUACUUUUUCGUGGGGGAUAACGUAGGGAAACUUACGCUAAUACCGCAUACGACCUACGGGUGAAAGCAGGGGAUCUUCGGACCUUGCGCGAUUGAAUGAGCCGAUGUCGGAUUAGCUAGUUGGCGGGGUAAAGGCCCACCAAGGCGACGAUCCGUAGCUGGUCUGAGAGGAUGAUCAGCCACACUGGAACUGAGACACGGUCCAGACUCCUACGGGAGGCAGCAGUGGGGAAUAUUGGACAAUGGGCGCAAGCCUGAUCCAGCCAUACCGCGUGGGUGAAGAAGGCCUUCGGGUUGUAAAGCCCUUUUGUUGGGAAAGAAAAGCAGCAGGUUAAUACCCCGCUGUUCUGACGGUACCCAAAGAAUAAGCACCGGCUAACUUCGUG